Long non-coding RNA from Dromaius novaehollandiae (emu), 585 nucleotides. RefSeq lists it as uncharacterized. Lineage: Eukaryota; Metazoa; Chordata; Aves; Casuariiformes; Dromaiidae. The transcript is spliced from 2 exons. The record is from RefSeq and is a predicted model, not a curated record.
CUCCUCCCGGCCGGCCUCCCGGCACGCCGAGCCCGGGCGGCGCGCUCCGCCACACAAUAAAUAACAAUAGAGCGCUCCGCGCGCCGCCGCCGCCCGGGGAGCGCGCGCGCGCCCGCCCCGCGCGCCGCCCGCGCCCCCGCGCGCCGCCCCGCGCCGCCGCGCCCGCGGCCCGGGGGCGCCCGCCCGCCCGCGGAGGGACAUGUUGUUAUUUUUUGCUGUUGUCAGUCUCUGACGUCACAUCCACCUGCUGGCGGGAUCUUUGGAGGCGGCAGGGAAAGCGCCGGGGCUGCGUCGCCGGGAAGGCACAACCGUCAAAAAGUGCCACGAUCAACCUGCCGCAGCAGCCCAGCGCGCCCGGCUGAAGUACAGCUCAUCGCACCGACGUGUGACCAAAACUAGCUUAAAAAAACACUUGGAGUCAAAGCUUUGGUUGUUUUGCUUGAUCUUUUUGCUUGUAUCUGUCUUCGGUAGGGAGAUAAAGGAGAUGAAACUGCUAAAAAGCACUUUUCAAAGCUCCCCCCCUUCACUGUUCUGAAAAGUAUUUGUUUUACAUUUCAUCCUGGAAUAAACAUUGUUUAUUGGAAA